Molecule: ribosomal RNA, 459 nt
Filed under: uncultured Acidimicrobiales bacterium
Lineage: Bacteria; Bacillati; Actinomycetota; Acidimicrobiia; Acidimicrobiales
Description: bacterial SSU rRNA
Rfam family: Bacterial small subunit ribosomal RNA
Source: RNAcentral
GACGAACGCUGGGGGCGUGCUUAACACAUGCAAGUCGAACGAACUCGACCUUCGGGUCAAUGAGUGAGUGGCGAACGGGUGAGUAACACGUGAGAAACCUACCUCGAAGUAAGGAAUAACCCAGGGAAACUCGGGCUAAUACCUUAUGCCUUGCACAGAUCGAAUGGUCAGUGCAAGAAAGAUUUAUCGCUUUGAGAGGGUCUCGCGGACUAUCAGCUUGUUGGUAAGGUAAAGGCUUACCAAGGCUAUGACGGUUAGCUAGUCUGAGAGGACGAUUAGUCACACUGGAACUGAGAUACGGUCCAGACUCCUACGGGAGGCAGCAGUCGGGAAUAUUGCACAAUGGACGAAAGUCUGAUGCAGCGACGCCCCGUGAGGGAUGAAGGCCUUAGGGUCGUAAACCUCUUUCAGUAGGGAAGAAAAUGACGGUACCUACAGAAGAAGCCCCGGCCAACUACG